UGGGGAAUAUUGCACAAUGGGCGCAAGCUUGAUGCAGCGACGCCGCGUGGAGGAUGAAGGUCUUCGGAUUGUAAACUUCUGUUAAGUGGGAAGAAAGACUACAGUUGAAUAAGCUGUAGGGAUGACGGUACCACUAGAGAAAGCACCGGCAAACUUCGUGCCAGCAGCCGCGGUAAUACGAAGGGUGCAAGCGUUAUUCGGAGUUACUGGGCGUAAAGAGCGCGUAGGCGGUCUGUUAAGUUAUUUGUUAAAGCUCCUGGCUUAACCGGGAAAAGGCAGGUAAAACUGGCAGACUAGAGAGUAAGAGAGAGAAGUGGAAUUCUCGGAGUAGCGGUAAAAUGCGUAGAUCUCGAGAGGAACACCGGAAGCGAAGGCGGCUUCUUGGCUUAUUUCUGACGCUCAAGUGCGAAAGCGUGGGGAGCAAACAGG
This 429-nucleotide ribosomal RNA is filed under the name uncultured bacterium. Its description in RNAcentral is "bacterial SSU rRNA". It matches the Rfam family "Bacterial small subunit ribosomal RNA", at positions 355 to 776 of the family's 1533-position model. The record is from RNAcentral.